RNAcentral lists this ribosomal RNA (406 nucleotides) under uncultured bacterium. Its description in RNAcentral is "partial 16S ribosomal RNA". It matches the Rfam family "Bacterial small subunit ribosomal RNA", at positions 30 to 526 of the family's 1533-position model. The record is from RNAcentral.
AUUGAACGCUGGCGGCAGGCUUAACACAUGCAAGUCGAGCGAGCGGCGGACGGGUGAGUAAUGUCUGGGAACCUGCCUGAUGGAGGGGGAUAACUACUGGAAACGGUAUCUAAUCCCGCAUACCAUCAGAUGUGCCCAGAUGGGAUUGGCUAGUAGGUGGGGUAAUGGCACACCUGGGCGACGACCCCUAGCUGGUCUGAGAGGAUGCCCAGCCACACUGGAACUGAGACACGGUCCAGACGCCUACGGGAGGCAGCAGUGGGGAAUAUUGCACAAGGGGCGCAAGCCUGAUGCAGCCAUGCCGCGUGUGUGAAGAAGGCCUUCGGGUUGUAAAGCACUUUCAGCGGGGAGGCGUUACCCGCAGAAGAAGCACCGGCUAACUCCGUGCCAGCAGCCGCGGUAAUUC